Molecule: long non-coding RNA, 728 nt
Organism: Daphnia pulex (common water flea)
Lineage: Eukaryota; Metazoa; Arthropoda; Branchiopoda; Diplostraca; Daphniidae
Exons: 3
Source: RefSeq, a predicted model, not a curated record
CCGUGUGUUAUGUAAUAUUACACUCACAAAUCAAUAAUGGAGAAAGUUGAGAUGGCAUUAAAAGGGGGCUGUGAAAGCCAACACAACACAAGAAUGAGAUUAGUGCCCAGUAAAUUUGUAGAUGGAUAUAUGGUUCAAUUGUCACCUGACAUGUUUCAGGGAGCAGACGAGGACAAUGUUGAACAUCAAUCUGAAGUCGAUCCACCUUCUCACAGCUGCAAGAAAGGCCAACAAGAAAGUGAUUCAUCGUCAUCCCAGAACCAAGAUGUUAAUCAUCAGGUAAAUUUUGUAAACCAAAUAAACAAGCAUUGAUGAGUGAAAAGUGUUUCUAUAUCAUUAAAUAUUGAGUCACUGACCAAACGAAAUGACGAAUUAGAGAUUGAAAAUGGUUUAUUGUACACACAAUCCAAGAAUUGAACAAAGAGAUUAAUGAUUCAAAACAAGAAUUGAGGCAAACCAAUGCUACUAGUAAAAGUAGCCAGGGGAAAAGAAAAAGGACGAGUAACGAGCUGCAAGUCAUGGUUCCUUUAUUAGCGGGUUCACAUAUAAAAAUCGAAAGAUCAGAAAUAGAUAAAGUGUUGGUCGUUGGAAGGGAAACGAAAGAUAAUUUUGAUUUAAUGAUCAACAAACUCUUGGAAUCCAUUUACUCUAAGACGCUUUGGGGAAGUCGGUCCUUGUCAGGUGGAUGCAAUAAAAAAUAAAAUAAUGGUGCUUCAAACACAGAGCUA